This 300-nucleotide ribosomal RNA is filed under the name Escherichia coli. RNAcentral's name for it is "partial 23S ribosomal RNA". It matches the Rfam family "Bacterial large subunit ribosomal RNA", at positions 1433 to 1735 of the family's 2925-position model. Lineage: Bacteria; Pseudomonadati; Pseudomonadota; Gammaproteobacteria; Enterobacterales; Enterobacteriaceae. The record is from RNAcentral.
AUAUUCCUGUACUUGGUGUUACUGCGAAGGGGGGACGGAGAAGGCUAUGUUGGCCGGGCGACGGUUGUCCCGGUUUAAGCGUGUAGGCUGGUUUUCCAGGCAAAUCCGGAAAAUCAAGGCUGAGGCGUGAUGACGAGGCACUACGGUGCUGAAGCAACAAAUGCCCUGCUUCCAGGAAAAGCCUCUAAGCAUCAGGUAACAUCAAAUCGUACCCCAAACCGACACAGGUGGUCAGGUAGAGAAUACCAAGGCGCUUGAGAGAACUCGGGUGAAGGAACUAGGCAAAAUGGUGCCGUAACU